UCCCUGGUGGUCCAGUGGCUAAGACUCUGCAUUUCCAAUGCAGAGGGUCCAGGUUUGAUCCCUAGGUAGGGAA
Molecule: transfer RNA, 73 nt
Filed under: Bos taurus (domestic cattle)
Lineage: Eukaryota; Metazoa; Chordata; Mammalia; Artiodactyla; Bovidae
Also listed under: 3 other names
Rfam family: tRNA
About the family: Transfer RNA (tRNA) molecules are approximately 80 nucleotides in length. Their secondary structure includes four short double-helical elements and three loops (D, anti-codon, and T loops).
Source: Rfam by way of RNAcentral